This 819-nucleotide long non-coding RNA is filed under the name Olea europaea subsp. europaea. Lineage: Eukaryota; Viridiplantae; Streptophyta; Magnoliopsida; Lamiales; Oleaceae. The record is from RNAcentral.
CUCUGGAUGAUAAUUGAACAUUUCUUCCUUUUUAAAAGGAAUUUUUUUGUAGUAUAUGAUUCCAACUUAAAAACUCAUUCAGGAAGAUUAUUUAAUACAGUUUUGUUGUUAGAUGAAAGGGGCAUAAUGAUUACGCAAAUAUGGGAACACAGUAAUAGGAAAAAGAUUCUCAAUAAGAGAGGUAAAAGUUAAUUCUACUUAUCACCAACUACAAGUGUAUUAGCCACAAACAUCUGUAGAUUUUUACAGACACAGAAAUUAACUAUAAACUGGGGGUGAAGUUGAAAACAUCUAUGGCAAUUCUUAAGAUGAAGGGUUAGGAGAAAUAUGUCACCAUCGGAGUGCCCUUUUUAAAGGUGUUAUUAGGCAGGAAGUAAAUACAUCAGGCGGAAAUUCAGCACUCCGAGAAAGUAUCUCAUGAGCUUCAUAAGCUGCCAACAAAAUGCAAUCCCUCAUUGCCAACAAAAUGCAAUCCGUCAAAUAGCUCAGUGAGAACCAGAGGAAAAUGUACUAAAACAGAAUGCCACAAGAAAAACUGAGAGCGUUAAGGAAAGUAACCUUAUUAUAUAGCCAAAUUUCAACAUUAGCAGUUGGCUUUAGCACACCACGUCCAUUAUAGUGGUACAAUCUCUCUCUCAGAUUUGCAUAUUUGCGAUGUGUGUGCGUCUCUCUCUCUCUCUUAUCAUUUUUGCAAUUUGGCUACCAUCUAUAGACACCUCUGAAAAUCGUUAUCUUACUUGCAGCCCAACAAUAAAGUAGUGGCUAUGCGCAUUUGUAGAUGCUACUUCUGGUAUAGAUUUGGGCCAACAGACUUUGUUU